GCCGGAUAACCCACAAUGCCUGGAACGGUUUGUGGGUGAAGAUAGGAUGGGUCUGCGGCGUAUCAGGUCGUAGGGGGUGUAAUGGACCUCCUAGCCAUCGACGCGUACGGGUGUUGGGAGACAUAGCCCGGAGAUGGAUUCUGAGACACGAAUCCAGACCCUACGGGGUGCAGCAGGCGCGAAAACUUCACACUGCAGGAAACUGUGAUGAGGGAACUCCAAGUGCAUUCACUAUGUGGAUGCUUUUUUUGACUAUUAAUCGGUCAACGAAUAAGGGCUGGGAAAGACCGGUGCCAGCCGCCGCGGUAAUACCGGCAGCUCAAGUGGUCGUCGCUUUUAUUGGGCCUAAAACGUCCGUAGCCUGUUUGGUAAAUCUGUGGGUAAAUCAACCAGCUUAACUGGUUGAAUUCUGCAGAGACUGCCAGACUAGGGACCGGGAGAGGUGUGGGGUACUCUAGGGGUAGGGGUAAAAUCCUGUCAUCCUUAGAGGACCACCAGUUGCGAAGGCGCCACACUGGAACGGAUCCGACGGUCAGGGACGAAGCCUAGGGGCACGAACCGGAUUAGAUACCCGGGUAGUCCUAGGUGUAAACGCUGUGAACUUGGUGUCGGGGAUCCGCAAUGGGUCCUCGGUGCCGGAGUGAAGAUGUUAAGUUCACUGCCUGGGGAGUACGGUCGCAAGGCUGAAACUUAAAGGAAUUGGCGGGGGAGCACUGCAACGGGAGGAGCGUGCGGUUUAAUUGGAUUCAACGCCGGGA
This 758-nucleotide ribosomal RNA is filed under the name uncultured Candidatus Poseidoniales archaeon. RNAcentral's name for it is "bacterial SSU rRNA". It matches the Rfam family "Archaeal small subunit ribosomal RNA", at positions 151 to 923 of the family's 1478-position model. The record is from RNAcentral. Lineage: Archaea; Methanobacteriati; Thermoplasmatota; Candidatus Poseidoniia; Candidatus Poseidoniales.